GGGGAUAACGUCCGGAAACGGACGCUAAUACCGCAUACGUCCUACGGGAGAAAGCAGGGGACCUUCGGGCCUGCGCUAUCGGAUGAGCCUAGGUCGGAUUAGCUAGUUGGUGGGGUAAUGGCUCACCAAGGCGACGAUCCGUAACUGGUCUGAGAGGAUGAUCAGUCACACUGGAACUGAGACACGGUCCAGACUCCUACGGGAGGCAGCAGUGGGGAAUAUUGGACAAUGGGCGAAAGCCUGAUCCAGCCAUGCCGCGUGUGUGAAGAAGGUCUUCGGAUUGUAAAGCACUUUAAGUUGGGAGGAAGGGCAGUAAAUUAAUACUUUGCUGUUUUGACGUUACCGACAGAAUAAGCACCGGCUAACUCUGUGCCAGCAGCCGCGGUAAUACAGAGGGUGCAAGCGUUAAUCGGAAUUACUGGGCGUAAAGCGCGCGUAGGUGGUUCGUUAAGUUGGAUGUGAAAUCCCCGGGCUCAACCUGGGAACUGCAUUCAAAACUGACGAGCUAGAGUAUGGUAGAGGGUGGUGGAAUUUCCUGCGUAGCGGUGAAAUGCGUAGAUAUAGGAAGGAACACCAGUGGCGAAGGCGACCACCUGGACUGAUACUGACACUGAGGUGCGAAAGCGUGGGGAGCAAAC
Molecule: ribosomal RNA, 638 nt
Filed under: uncultured bacterium
Lineage: Bacteria
Description: bacterial SSU rRNA
Rfam family: Bacterial small subunit ribosomal RNA
Source: RNAcentral